UACGUAGGGUGCAAGCGUUGUCCGGAAUUAUUGGGCGUAAAGAGCUCGUAGGCGGUCUGUCGCGUCUGCUGUGAAAACUCAGGGCUUAACCCUGAGCUUGCAGUGGGUACGGGCAGACUAGAGUGCGGUAGGGGAGACUGGAAUUCCGUGGUGUAGCGGUGAAAUGCGCAGAUAGUCAGGAGGAACACCGGUGGGCGAAGGCGGGUCUC
This 209-nucleotide ribosomal RNA is filed under the name uncultured bacterium. Its description in RNAcentral is "partial 16S ribosomal RNA". It matches the Rfam family "Bacterial small subunit ribosomal RNA", at positions 524 to 729 of the family's 1533-position model. The record is from RNAcentral.